CGGACGGGUGAGUAACACGUGGAUAACCUACCUAUAAGACUGGGAUAACUUCGGGAAACCGGAGCUAAUACCGGAUAAUAUAUUGAACCGUAUGGCUCAAUAGUGAAAGACGGUUUUGCUGUCACUUAUAGAUGGAUCCGCGCCGCAUUAGCUAGUUGGUAAGGUAACGGCUUACCAAGGCAACGAUGCGUAGCCGACCUGAGAGGGUGAUCGGCACACUGGAACUGAGACACGGUCCAG
RNAcentral lists this ribosomal RNA (240 nucleotides) under uncultured Staphylococcus sp. Its description in RNAcentral is "partial 16S ribosomal RNA". It matches the Rfam family "Bacterial small subunit ribosomal RNA", at positions 99 to 334 of the family's 1533-position model. The record is from RNAcentral. Lineage: Bacteria; Bacillati; Bacillota; Bacilli; Caryophanales; Staphylococcaceae.